GUGCUAACCUUCAGCAGCACAUAUACUAAGAAACGAUGCAGAGAAGGUUGGCAUGGCCCCUAUACAAGGAUGACAUGCAAAUUUGUGCAAUGUUCCAUAUUAAA
Small nuclear RNA from Cebus imitator (Panamanian white-faced capuchin), 104 nucleotides. The record is from Ensembl. NCBI's taxonomy places the organism in Eukaryota, Metazoa, Chordata, Mammalia, Primates, Cebidae.